UGGCCCUGGAUGGGGAAUAACGCUGGGAAACCAGCGCUAAUACCGCAUACGCUUAGCCCUUCACGGUUAAGUAAAGCUUUAUGCGCUUCAGGAGGGGCCUGCGCUCGAUUAGCUAGUCGGUGGGGUAAUGGCCUACCGAGGCUCCGAUCGGUAGCUGGUCUGAGAGGAUGAUCAGCCACACUGGGACUGAGACACGGCCCAG
Molecule: ribosomal RNA, 202 nt
Filed under: uncultured bacterium
Lineage: Bacteria
Description: partial 16S ribosomal RNA
Rfam family: Bacterial small subunit ribosomal RNA
Source: RNAcentral